Molecule: long non-coding RNA, 1066 nt
Organism: Eucalyptus grandis
Lineage: Eukaryota; Viridiplantae; Streptophyta; Magnoliopsida; Myrtales; Myrtaceae
Exons: 2
Source: RefSeq, a predicted model, not a curated record
AUUUGGCCAAAAUUCAAUUUCAAGGACCAAAUUAAACAUUAACUAAAACUUUGGGGACCGACUUUUAUUUUCCCUCUCAUCCUUGGGGGCUUCAAAGGCGGAACCUCUGUUAUUCCGCUCGCCGUAGAGGGAGCUCGUGACUCGCUCGAUGAAGAUGCAAAAUUCUCGUAGGCUGCGGGGGGACGAUUGGAGAGCAUGCGAGAGGAGGCGACGGUGAAUCCAACGUGUCUCGGAGGAACGCUGAUGCGAGACAUCGUCGUCAAAGUCAUUGCGGAACCGAAGAAGAGGGAAAGAUCCGAACAUUUUCAAGUGGUGGCCAGGUGCUUGACAAAAGUGCCCACGUGGGGAGUUGAAACGGUGUUCGGGCGCAUGAAAUGGAAGCGACGGGUUGCUCUCGUUUUCGUGGUUUAGUUCUUGCAUUGUGAUGAACGAUGGCGAAGGAUAAAAAUGCGACCAGAGAAAAAGAAGAAAACCGCGAUUAAGAAAAAGACCAAUUGGCGUCUCCACUAGACAUUAAUCGAAGGGACGAGCAGUGCGGAGAAAAACGACGAAGCAACGCGGAGGCACCUCCUCGGUUUCUUCUCAUAAUUUCUUCGGCUUUUGUGCUCUUUUUUUUUUUUAUAAUUUUUCGUGCAGGUUUCCAUCGAAGGGAUCCAAAAAGACAAAAGAAGAAAACAAGAAACCAAAAGGGACAAAGCAAUUGGUGGUCAGAAACACGAAGCCAUGAAGCAACCUCUCUCGUUUUCCACCAUUCUUUGUAGUAUUCCUUUGUCCGGGCGAAAGUGUUUGCUGCAGAAGUUGUCUGAAUCUUUAAGUAAAGAGGUUUUCCUUUUUCAAAAAAUUUAGCCAUUUUUAUGAUGAGUCAGUUAUUAAUUUUACAGAAUGCGAGAACUGCAUAAAUGAAUAUUAACAAAAUAUAUGAUGCUAAGUUAUUGCUAUUAGCCCAUGGGAAACGAAUGUUUUGAUGGCACAGAGAACAAAAUUGUAUAUGACCUGUAUGUCAUUGUCUAAAAUAGUUAGCUGUAGAGACUGAUGAUGAUGAUAAUGGUGAGGAUGAAGAUGAUGA